Zingiber officinale is the source of this 1340-nucleotide long non-coding RNA. RefSeq lists it as uncharacterized. The transcript has 2 exons. The record is from RefSeq and is a predicted model, not a curated record. NCBI's taxonomy places the organism in Eukaryota, Viridiplantae, Streptophyta, Magnoliopsida, Zingiberales, Zingiberaceae.
UAGUCAUUUCUCCGUCCUCCAAACACUUCGCUCAAAAGCAGAAACCAACCUACAGUUUCGGCGGCCGCAAAAAUCUUCGGCUUUGAGAUUACGGUGGUAAUGCUAUUCUCUACUAUUAUUCUCGUCUUGUUUCUUGGUCUCGAGGGUAUUUCAUGGAGGACAUGAUGCGGUUUUAUGAUAUUAUUAUUUUACAGUAUUUCGAUGUGUGAUCGGUAUAUUCUUCUGCUAGAGAUAUAGCUUGAUGGGUUGAUCUGAUUCCAGGCAUUUUUUUUUUCUUUUUCUUUUUGAUCCUAGGAUACUUGAGGUUUAUUUGAUUUUUUUUUUUUUUUAUGAUCUUUUAUGUAAGAUUACUUUAAUGGAUUUGAAUUGAGGAGUUAAUGUUAAAUGGCAAUGCGCUUAUGGACGGUCAGAUGCUGAUUCGAACUUGCACAUCAGCACAUAACACAAUCAUAAGCAAAAGAAACCAUUGCCACUCACAAUCCCUCCUUGAAAGCAAUCAAUUUCAAGGAGAUUACACUUGGUGGCAUUCAUUUUAACUUCAGUUUAUGGCUCUUGUUUUUUUUUUUAAUUUUUAAUUUUUAAUUUUGUAAUGUGAGUAGAAUUAAGCUGAUCCUGGUUGAUUGGAGAAGCUUAGUUUUUCUUAUUUUUGAUAGAUGUUUAUGUAACCUUUUAUCUUCUAAGAAAAAAAUUGAUGGAUUUUGGGAAAUCUUAAACAAGCACAUAAAAAAUGUAACAAUACCAUUAACUAAAGAAAUUAAUUGCCACUCAAAAACCCUUUUUGAAACAAAUCAAUUUCUAAGGGAGUCCACCCGAAAUCCUGGUCAUUGGGAAAUAUUGCUUAAGUUAAUUUUUAUCUCUGCCAUUUUUUUACUCACAAAGAUACUCGUAGUUCAUAUUUAAUAUUUUUCAUUUUUAAUCAUUAUGUUCAUGUUAAUGUUCUUUGUAUUUGUUUUUUGGAUACUCCAUAUACUUAUUCAUUGGGAAGUAAAGGAUUGUGCUUAUGGAAGGUCAAGUGCUGAUCUGAAACAGACACAUCAGCACAACACAAUAUCAUAAGCUAAAGAAACCAUCUGCCACUUAUAAUCCCUCCUUCUCAAGAACUCUGCUAGAAAUAGCUAUGGAAUCAAAAUACAAAAGGGAUCGGGCACUUAUCUGCUAAAUUCUGCAUCCUGAAGACCUGAAGUGCUCCAGAACGUAGCUCUAUUAAGACCAGAAAGAAACCUUUUGAUGUUUCAAGGGAUGACUGUUUGUAAGAUUAAAGCGUUUUGUUCAGAGAAUUUGAGAAUGUUGUUUAAAUUGUAUGAAUUAUAAAAAAAUAAAGUUGCAGAAAUUUGAUACAA